GAUGAACGCUGGCGGCGUGCCUAAUACAUGCAAGUCGAGCGAACAGACGAGGAUCUUGCUCCUCUGACGUUAGCGGCGGACGGGUGAGUAACACGUGGAUAACCUACCUAUAAGACUGGGAUAAUUUCGGGAAACCGGAGCUAAUACCGGAGAAUAUAUUGAACCGCAUGGUUCAAUAGUGAAAGACGGUUUUGCUGUCACUUAUAGAUGGAUCCGCGCCGCAUUAGCUAGUUGGUAAGGUAACGGCUUACCAAGGCAACGAUGCGUAGCCGAGGUGAGAGGGUGAUCGGCCACAUUGGAACUGAGACACGGUCCAUACUCCUACGGGAGGCAGCAGUAGGGAAUCUUCCGCAAUGGGCGAAAGCCUGACGGAGCAACGCCGCGUGAGUGAUGAAGGUCUUCGGAUCGUAAAACUCUGUUAUUAGGGAAGAACAAAUGUGUAAGUAACUAUGCACGUAUUGACGGUAACUAAUCAGAAAGCCACGGCUAACUACGUG
Molecule: ribosomal RNA, 497 nt
Filed under: uncultured bacterium
Lineage: Bacteria
Description: partial 16S ribosomal RNA
Rfam family: Bacterial small subunit ribosomal RNA
Source: RNAcentral